GGCCGCGGUAUUUUGACCGUGCAAAGGUAGCGUAAUCACUUGUCUUUUAAAUGAAGACCUGUAUGAAUGGCAAAACGAGGGCCUAACUGUCUCCCCCCUUCAAUCAAUGAAAUUGGUCUCCCCGUGCAGAAACGGGGAUGAAAGCAUAAGACGAGAAGACCCUGUGGAGCUUAAGACACAAGACAGGAACAUUUCCCCUUGCCCCCCCCCCACGUGAGCAAGACUAAUUGUGCCCCUGCCCUCUGUCUUUGGUUGGGGCGACCGCGGAGAAAAAAGCAUCCCCCGCGAGGACAAGAAACACCCCUCCUUUCUAAAGACUCGGUCUACCCUCCUAGUACGCAGAACUUCUGACCACAAGAUCCGGCAUCGCCGAUCAACGGACCAAGUUACCCCAGGGAUAACAGCGCAAUCCUCUUCCAGAGCCCAUAUCGACAAG
RNAcentral lists this ribosomal RNA (436 nucleotides) under Gouania willdenowi (blunt-snouted clingfish). Its description in RNAcentral is "partial 16S ribosomal RNA". It matches the Rfam family "Bacterial large subunit ribosomal RNA", at positions 1929 to 2512 of the family's 2925-position model. Lineage: Eukaryota; Metazoa; Chordata; Actinopteri; Blenniiformes; Gobiesocidae. The record is from RNAcentral.